CUGGUAGAUACAGGUCUGUCCAUCUGGUAUUACCCGCCAGAUACAGGUCUGUCCAUCUGGUAGAUACAGGUCUGUAUUAACCACCAGAUACAGGUCUGUCCAUCUGGUAGAUACAGG
This is a long non-coding RNA of Haliotis rubra (blacklip abalone), 117 nucleotides long. RefSeq lists it as uncharacterized. The transcript has 3 exons. The record is from RefSeq and is a predicted model, not a curated record. NCBI's taxonomy places the organism in Eukaryota, Metazoa, Mollusca, Gastropoda, Lepetellida, Haliotidae.